RNAcentral lists this ribosomal RNA (503 nucleotides) under uncultured bacterium. RNAcentral describes it as "partial 16S ribosomal RNA". It matches the Rfam family "Bacterial small subunit ribosomal RNA", at positions 30 to 523 of the family's 1533-position model. The record is from RNAcentral.
AUUGAACGCUGGCGGCAGGCUUAACACAUGCAAGUCGAGCGGGGUGAUGGUGCUUGCACUAUCACUUAGCGGCGGACGGGUGAGUAAUGCUUAGGAAUCUGCCUAUUAGUGGGGGACGACAUCUCGAAAGGGAUGCUAAUACCGCAUACGUCCUACGGGAGAAAGCAGGGGAUCACUUGUGCCCUUGCGCUAAUAGAUGGGCCUAAGUCGGAUUAGCUAGUUGGUGGGGUAAAGGCCUACCAAGGCGACGAUCUGUAGCGGGUCUGAGAGGAUGAUCCGCCACACUGGGACUGAGACACGGCCCAGACUCCUACGGGAGGCAGCAGUGGGGAAUAUUGGACAAUGGGGGGAACCCUGAUCCAGCCAUGCCGCGUGUGUGAAGAAGGCCUUAUGGUUGUAAAGCACUUUAAGCGAGGAGGAGGCUCUUUUGGUUAAUACCCAAGAUGAGUGGACGUUACUCGCAGAAUAAGCACCGGCUAACUCUGUGCCAGCAGCCGCGGUAA